Musa acuminata AAA Group (dessert banana) is the source of this 1742-nucleotide RNA transcript. It is a transcript of the gene named glycerol-3-phosphate acyltransferase 9-like, with no coding region annotated. Lineage: Eukaryota; Viridiplantae; Streptophyta; Magnoliopsida; Zingiberales; Musaceae. The transcript has 13 exons. The record is from RefSeq and is a predicted model, not a curated record.
GUUAUAAAGACUAAAGGGUUGGUCGUCGUUUGCAGAGGUGGAAUAGCCAUGGCUGGGUUGGGUUCCUCAAGCUCGGAGAUGGAUCUCGACCGCCUCAACAUCGAGGAGUACCUCACCGUGGAAUCGAUCCGGGAGUCCCCCAGGAAGCUCCAUUUGAGGGACCUUCUCGACAUUUCCCCUACGCUUAAAGAAGCUGCCGGUGCCAUUGUUGAUGACUCCUUCACCCGCUGCUUUAAAUCAAAUCCUCCAGAACCCUGGAAUUGGAAUGUCUAUUUGUUCCCUCUAUGGUGCUUGGGAGUAGUUAUUAGAUAUGGGAUUCUUUUUCCAUUAAGAGUUACAAUCUUGGCUGCAGGAUGGAUAGUAUUUUUCUCAGCCUUUUUGCCGGUGCAUUUCCUUUUAGGAGAUCAUAAUAAGUUGCGGCAAAAAGUAGAGAGGAAACUGGUUGAGAUGAUAUGCAGUGUGUUUGUUGCCUCAUGGACAGGAGUGAUCAAAUACCAUGGUCCUCGUCCCAGCAUACGACCUCAACAGGUAUUUGUUGCCAACCACACUUCUAUGAUUGACUUCAUCAUCUUAGAACAAAUGACAGCAUUUGCUGUUAUCAUGCAAAAACAUCCUGGUUGGGUUGGAUUUAUCCAGAAGACCAUUUUAGAAAGUGUAGGCUGUAUUUGGUUUAACCGUACAGAAUCCAAGGACCGGGAAAUUGUUGCCAGAAAGUUAAGAGAACAUACACAAGGAGUUGACAAGAAUCCUGUUCUGAUAUUUCCUGAAGGAACUUGUGUAAACAAUCAUUACACUGUUAUGUUCAAGAAGGGUGCUUUUGAACUUGGUUGUGCUGUUUGCCCUGUAGCAAUAAAGUACAACAAGAUUUUUGUGGAUGCUUUCUGGAACAGUAAAAAACAAUCUUUUACAAUGCACUUAGUACAGCUUAUGACAUCAUGGGCUGUAGUUUGUGAUGUAUGGUACCUGGAACCUCAGUAUAUAAGAUCUGGAGAGACACCUAUUGAGUUUGCUGAAAGGGUUCGAGACAUGAUCUCUGUUCGGGCUGGUCUUAAAAAGGUCCCUUGGGAUGGUUAUUUGAAAUACUUCCGCCCCAGUCCCAAGCUUAUAGAACGGAAGCAACAAAUCUUUGCAGAGUCAGUCUUGCAGCGAUUGGAGGAAAAAUGAAAAGCUUUCUUUGUUUCUCUCCGAGCUUCUAUAUUGAGGCUUUCUUCUUUGGUAGAUUUCAAAUUUCAUCAGAUACAAGCAAGUAGUAUCUUUGAAUGGAGCUUAUUUGAGAGGGCCGGCAUUUAGUAUUCUGAAUAAUAUAAAAGGGAAUCAUGACCUUGUGAUAGCCGCUGUUAUUGGUUGGUAUGAUUUAUGGAAUCAUCCAUCAGUUUUGUUUUAAAUCUGGGUUUGCAGGAGUCCUAUUUCCUUCGGAGUCUUUGCUUAAAUUUUCAAGUCAAAUCUGAUACCAGAUCAGAGGCGACUUCUCUGAAACUUAAGGAGCAACUCAUUCAAGUUGGUUGAUUUGGUUCAGAAAGAAGGAAAGAAGAAGAAAAAAAGGGCUGUGGUAAUAUGCACAAGAAAAAUCCAUACUGCGAGUUACGUGAUCUCCAUUCUUUCAUGCGGCGGGUGGUCCCUGACGUUAAGAUUCUUUGAAUUGUCAACAAGAAUGCAGUUGGGAUGUCUGCUUGAGGCAGCCUCAAAUUCAUGUGUUUAAGAAUCACAAAAACCAAAUCACAAGAACCCCUUCCUUUGUGCCA